RNAcentral lists this ribosomal RNA (424 nucleotides) under uncultured bacterium. Its description in RNAcentral is "partial 16S ribosomal RNA". It matches the Rfam family "Bacterial small subunit ribosomal RNA", at positions 354 to 796 of the family's 1533-position model. The record is from RNAcentral.
GUGGGGAAUAUUGGACAAUGGGCGCAAGCCUGAUCCAGCCAUGCCGCGUGAGUGAUGAAGGCCCUAGGGUUGUAAAGCUCUUUCACCGGUGAAGAUAAUGACGGUAACCGGAGAAGAAGCCCCGGCUAACUUCGUGCCAGCAGCCGCGGUAAUACGAAGGGGGCUAGCGUUGUUCGGAAUUACUGGCGUAAAGCGCACGUAGGCGGACAUUUAAGUCAGGGGUGAAAUCCCGGGGCUCAACCUCGGAACUGCCUUUGAUACUGGGUGUCUUGAGUAUGAGAGAGGUGUGUGGAACUCCGAGUGUAGAGGUGAAAUUCGUAGAUAUUCGGAGGAACACCAGUGGCGAAGGCGGCUCACUGGCUCGAUACUGACGCUGAGGUGCGAAAGCGUGGGGAGCAAACAGGAUUAGAUACCCGGGUAGUCC